AGUGGACAUCAGGUGGACAUGCACAAAGUUAACAAAUCCCGCCCAUGCAUCGCUGGUGAACCCAUCGUUUUCUCUAAAUUGAAGGUGUUGUAAGGAGUGAGGUGUCCUUCCCUGUUAAGAGAUAAACCACCUAAACAGGGUCCAGCGUUUGAUCCACCAUCAGGUCCUGCACAGUGAUGGUUUGAGGCACACCUUCAGGUCCAGACAUGAUGGGUCACGGCAAGUACAGUGAUGAAGGGAUCAUGAAAUUCGGUUCCGCAGCCACUGAGGAGUACAUCAAGGUGAACAUGUCUGAGCACCUCAAGCACGCGUCGUAAAGACUUGGCUGUGGAGGAUUCACUAUGCCCUGAUGAGCCAAGCCUACGGGACUUGAAUUAAGAGUUCAAUUAAAGGGAUAGUUCACUUUGAAAUUAAUUUUUGAUAUGUUUUAGCUUACCUCAAGGGCAUCCAAGAUGUAGGUG
This is a non-coding RNA of Pimephales promelas (fathead minnow), 461 nucleotides long. NCBI's taxonomy places the organism in Eukaryota, Metazoa, Chordata, Actinopteri, Cypriniformes, Leuciscidae. The record is from RefSeq and is a predicted model, not a curated record.